GGUGAUUUGCUAACGAACUGUGA
This 23-nucleotide non-coding RNA is filed under the name Arabidopsis thaliana (thale cress). Lineage: Eukaryota; Viridiplantae; Streptophyta; Magnoliopsida; Brassicales; Brassicaceae. The record is from RNAcentral.